Molecule: ribosomal RNA, 405 nt
Filed under: uncultured bacterium
Lineage: Bacteria
Description: partial 16S ribosomal RNA
Rfam family: Bacterial small subunit ribosomal RNA
Source: RNAcentral
GACGAACGCUGGCGGCGUGCUUAACACAUGCAAGUCGAACGAAGUGGCGAACGGGUGAGUAAUACGUGAGUAACUGCCCUCCUUUUUGGGAUAAGCCUUGGAAACGGGGUCUAAUACCGAAUAAAGGGGGAUGGGUCGGGGCCUAUCAGCUUGUUGGUGGGGUGAUGGCCUUCCAAGGCGGUGCCGGGUAGCCGGCCUGGGAGGUGGAACGGCGACAUGGGGCUGAGAGACGGCCCAAAGUCCUACGGGGGGCAGCAGGGGCGAAUAUUGCACAGUGGGGGCAACCCUGAGGCAGCAACGCCGCGUGCGGGAUGACGGCCUUCGGGUUGUAAACCGCUUUCAGCCAUGACGCGGUAGUGGCAGAAGAAGCACCGGCUAACUACGUGCCAGCCGCCGCGGUAAUAC